RNAcentral lists this ribosomal RNA (403 nucleotides) under uncultured bacterium. RNAcentral's name for it is "bacterial SSU rRNA". It matches the Rfam family "Bacterial small subunit ribosomal RNA", at positions 362 to 758 of the family's 1533-position model. The record is from RNAcentral.
UAUUGCACAAUGGGCGCAAGCCUGAUGCAGCCAUGCCGCGUGUGUGAAGAAGGCCUUCGGGUUGUAAAGCACUUUCAGUCAGGAGGAAAGGUUAGUAGUUAAUACCUGCUAGCUGUGACGUUACUGACAGAAGAAGCACCGGCUAACUCCGUGCCAGCAGCCGCGGUAAUACGGAGGGUGCGAGCGUUAAUCGGAAUUACUGGGCGUAAAGCGUACGCAGGCGGUUUGUUAAGCGAGAUGUGAAAGCCCCGGGCUCAACCUGGGAACUGCAUUUCGAACUGGCAAACUAGAGUGUGAUAGAGGGUGGUAGAAUUUCAGGUGUAGCGGUGAAAUGCGUAGGGAUUUGAAGGAAUACCGAUGGCGAAGGCAGCCACCUGGGUUGGCACUGACGCUCAUUACGAAG